CCUACGGGAGGCAGCAGUGGGGAAUAUUGGACAAUGGGCGAAAGCCUGAUCCAGCAAUGCCGCGUGAGUGAUGAAGGCCUUAGGGUUGUAAAGCUCUUUUACCAGGGAUGAUAAUGACAGUACCUGGAGAAUAAGCUCCGGCUAACUCCGUGCCAGCAGCCGCGGUAAUACGGAGGGAGCUAGCGUUGUUCGGAAUUACUGGGCGUAAAGAGUACGUAGGCGGUUAUUCAAGUCAGAGGUGAAAGCCCGGGGCUCAACCCCGGAACUGCCUUUGAAACUAGAUAGCUAGAAUCUUGGAGAGGUCAGUGGAAUUCCGAGUGUAGAGGUGAAAUUCGUAGAUAUUCGGAAGAACACCAGUGGCGAAGGCGACUGACUGGACAAGUAUUGACGCUGAGGUACGAAAGCGUGGGGAGCAAACAGGAUUAGAUACCCUGGUAGUCCACGCCGUAAACGAUGAUAACUAGUUGUUCGGGCACUUGGUGCCUGAGUGACGCAGCUAACGCAUUAAGUUAUCCGCCUGGGGAGUACGGUCGCAAGAUUAAAACUCAAAGGAAUUGAACGGUNUGAGAGUGCGAGACGACACGAGGAGAGG
RNAcentral lists this ribosomal RNA (592 nucleotides) under uncultured bacterium. RNAcentral describes it as "bacterial SSU rRNA". It matches the Rfam family "Bacterial small subunit ribosomal RNA", at positions 338 to 965 of the family's 1533-position model. The record is from RNAcentral.